UUAGAGUUUUAUUUAAGCUUAAAAAUUAAGUUUUUUUUUACUUAAAUGUAAAUUUUAGUAAAAAAUUAUUUUAAAUAAAUAGUUUUAAUUUGCAAUAAGUAUUAUUAAAUAUUAAAGAAAUUUAGAUUUAGCAAUAAAAAAUAAUAUUAACAAAAUUUGUGCCAGCAGUUGCGGUUAUACAAAUAAUAUAAUUUAAUUUAGUUAGUAUUAAUUAAUUUAAAAUAAAAAUAAUUUAAAAUUAAAAUUUAUUAGGUGAAAUUUAUAAAUUUUAAAUAAAAAUUUACUAUUUUUAAUGAAGUUAAAAAAUUUAAUUUAUAAACUAGGAUUAGAUACCCUAUUAUUUUAAACGUAUUUUUUAUACUAAAUUAGUAUUAGUUAUGUUCUUGAAAAUUAAAAAUUUUGGCGGUAUUUUAGUCUAUUCAGAGGAACUUGUCCUAUAAUUGAUAAUCCACGAUUUUAUUUACUUUUUUUAUUAGUUUGUAUAUCGUCGUAAUUUGAAUAUUUUAUAAGAAUAAUAAUGUUUAAGAUUUUAUAUAAGAAAGUAAAUCAGAUCAAGGUGCAGUUUAUAAAAAAGAAGAGAUGAGUUACAAUUAAAUAAUUAUUAGGAUUAUUAUUUAUAAAAUAAUAUGAAUUUGGAUUUGAGGGUAAAUUUAAUAAAUUAAUUAAAUUGAUUUUAGCUCUAAAAUAUGCACAUAUCGCCCGUCGCUUUCAUUUAAUAUGAAAUAAGUCGUAACAAAGUAGAUUUACUGGAAAGUGAAUCUAGAAGCAC
This 769-nucleotide non-coding RNA is filed under the name Chrysolina hyperici. Lineage: Eukaryota; Metazoa; Arthropoda; Insecta; Coleoptera; Chrysomelidae. The record is from RNAcentral.